UGGGGAAUCUUGGACAAUGGGCGCAAGCCUGAUCCAGCCAUGCCGCGUGAGUGAAGAAGGCCUUCGGGUUGUAAAGCUCUUUUGGCGGGGAAGAUAAUGACGGUACCCGCAGAAUAAGCCCCGGCUAACUUCGUGCCAGCAGCCGCGGUAAUACGAAGGGGGCUAGCGUUGUUCGGAAUUACUGGGCGUAAAGCGCACGUAGGCGGAUUGACAAGUCAGGGGUGAAAUCCCGGGGCUCAACCUCGGAACUGCCUCUGAUACUGUCAGUCUAGAGUCCGGAAGAGGUGGGUGGAAUUCCUAGUGUAGAGGUGAAAUUCGCAGAUAUUAGGAAGAACACCGGUGGCGAAGGCGGCCCACUGGUCCGGUACUGACGCUGAGGUGCGAAAGCGUGGGGAGCAAACAGGAUUAGAUACCCCCGUAGUCCCUGAGCGGGCUGGCAAGGCGCAU
RNAcentral lists this ribosomal RNA (447 nucleotides) under uncultured bacterium. RNAcentral's name for it is "bacterial SSU rRNA". It matches the Rfam family "Bacterial small subunit ribosomal RNA", at positions 355 to 825 of the family's 1533-position model. The record is from RNAcentral.